Molecule: unclassified non-coding RNA, 288 nt
Filed under: Hevea brasiliensis (rubber tree)
Lineage: Eukaryota; Viridiplantae; Streptophyta; Magnoliopsida; Malpighiales; Euphorbiaceae
Source: RNAcentral
AAUAGGACUAGAAAAGAAUUGAGCCUUUUUAAAUACCUUUAUAAUCAUCUUAUUCAUCUCUGGAAGCACAUUUGCUUAGUGUGAGCUUUGUGGUGCUCUCUUCCUCUAUUUCAUCUUCCACUCUUCUUAUUCUUCUUGUUUCUUUUGGCUUUUUUAUGCACUUCUCUUUUAUCCUUGCUGAAUUUCUUGAUAAUUCAGAACAGGAUUGACCUUAACUGAUUUCCAAGCCCAACACCCUGCCUGAUUGCCCUCUGAAAAUGCCAUCAGCUUAUAUUAUGAUUUCUGCAU